Molecule: ribosomal RNA, 587 nt
Filed under: uncultured cyanobacterium
Lineage: Bacteria; Bacillati; Cyanobacteriota
Description: bacterial SSU rRNA
Rfam family: Bacterial small subunit ribosomal RNA
Source: RNAcentral
ACGAAGUGCUUCGGCACUUAGUGGCGGACGGGUGAGUAACGCGUGAGAAUCUGCCAAAAGGACUGGGACAACAGCUGGAAACGGCUGCUAAUACCGGAUAUGCCAGAAAGUGAAAUGGGUAAAACCGCCUUUUGAUGAGCUCGCGUCCGAUUAGCUAGUUGGUGGGGUAAAAGCCUACCAAGGCGACGAUCGGUAACUGGUCUGAGAGGAUGACCAGUCACACUGGGACUGAGACACGGCCCAGACUCCUACGGGAGGCAGCAGUGGGGAAUUUUCCGCAAUGGGCGAAAGCCUGACGGAGCAAUACCGCGUGAGGGAGGAAGGCUCUUGGGUUGUAAACCUCUUUUCUCAGGGAAGAACACAAUGACGGUACCUGAGGAAUCAGCAUCGGCUAACUCCGUGCCAGCAGCCGCGGUAAUACGGAGGAUGCAAGCGUUAUCCGGAAUGAUUGGGCGUAAAGCGUCCGCAGGUGGCUUUGCAAGUCUGCUGUCAAAGCUCAGGGCUUAACCCUGAAUCGGCGGUGGAAACUGAAAGGCUAGAGUGUGGUAGGGGCAGAGGGAAUUCCCAGUGUAGCGGUGAAAUGCGUA